RNAcentral lists this ribosomal RNA (301 nucleotides) under uncultured bacterium. Its description in RNAcentral is "partial 16S ribosomal RNA". It matches the Rfam family "Bacterial small subunit ribosomal RNA", at positions 509 to 807 of the family's 1533-position model. The record is from RNAcentral.
CAGCAGCCGCGGGAAUACGGAGGGGGCUAGCGUUGUUCGGAAUUGCUGGGCGUAAAGCGCACGUAGGCGGCUUGGUAAGUUAGAGGUGAAAGCCUGGAGCUCAACUCCAGAAUUGCCUUUAAGACUGCCGAGCUAGCAGGUGAGAGAGGUAAGUGGAAUUCCGAGUGUAGAGGUGAAAUUCGUAGAUAUUCGGAAGAACACCAGUGGCGAAGGCGGCUUACUGGCUCAUACUGGACGCUGAGGUGCGAAAGCGUGGGGAGCAAACAGGAUUAGAUACCCCUGUAGUCCCUGUCUCUUAUAC